Molecule: long non-coding RNA, 556 nt
Filed under: Elaeis guineensis (African oil palm)
Lineage: Eukaryota; Viridiplantae; Streptophyta; Magnoliopsida; Arecales; Arecaceae
Description: long non-coding RNA (EGUI_LNC027149)
Source: RNAcentral
UCCUUGUUUGCCUGCUUUCUUCCUUUGUGGUCUUUUUUCUUGUUAGAAGAUCAAGAUGGGACCUGGUGGUCCAGGAGGACCUGGUGGCCCUGGUUGGUUUCCUCUGCCUGGUGGCCCCCCAGGUUGGGGCCCUGGACCUGGAGGACCGUUCGGAGGACCUGGCUGUUGUGGCCUCCUAGGCUCAUGGUGAGUUAUGAUAGACCUUGGAACCUGAGGUAUACUUAGAUGGGGUGGGACUUGUUAAUGCAAGGUCAUUCAGAAAAGUUCACUUUAGGCUCUUUCCAUCUCCUGUCUUUGUUAUUCCCCUCUAAAACCUCUCCUGCAUUUAGAUUUCAUCAAAGCAUUUAAAAAAAAAAAAUUACUUACCUUAAAUUUUUGUUUUUGUUAUAUGGCCAUCAUUUGGCAGUGGAAACAUGGUUUAUGUGAUUGGCAUUUACUGUUGGACUCAGCCAUUGAUGUAGAUCUAUCUCAUAAUAUUAUGACUUCUAUGGAUCUGAAAUUUCUCCCUGUAGGUUGAAGAUGUCCUUCUGUGACGCUAACUUUUUUUUUUUGGCAG